RNAcentral lists this ribosomal RNA (253 nucleotides) under uncultured bacterium. RNAcentral's name for it is "partial 16S ribosomal RNA". It matches the Rfam family "Bacterial small subunit ribosomal RNA", at positions 524 to 776 of the family's 1533-position model. The record is from RNAcentral.
UACGGGGGGGGCAAGCGUUGGUCGGAAUUACUGGGCGUAAAGGGCUCGUAGGUGGCCAACUAAGUCAGACGUGAAAUCCCUCGGCUUAACCGGGGAACUGCGUCUGAUACUGGAUGGCUUGAGUUCGGGAGAGGGAUGCGGAAUUCCAGGUGUAGCGGUGAAAUGCGUAGAUAUCUGGAGGAACACCGGUGGCGAAGGCGGCAUCCUGGACCGACACUGACACUGAGGAGCGAAAGCCAGGGGAGCAAACGGG